UUUAACGGCCGCGGUAUUUUGACCGUGCAAAGGUAGCGUAAUCACUUGUCUUUUAAAUGAAGACCUGUAUGAAUGGCAUAACGAGGGCUAAGCUGUCUCCUUUCCCCAGUCAAUGAAAUUGAUCUUUCCGUGCAGAAGCGGGAAUUACCACAUAAGACGAGAAGACCCUAUGGAGCUUAAGACAAAAGGCAGCAAACGUUAAAACCCCUGGACCAACAGAAAUAACCAAGUUAGUGCCUGCCCUUAUGUCUUUGGUUGGGGCGACCGCGGGGGAAAGAAAAUCCCCCACGUGGAACAGGACGUGCUCCUCUAAACUAGAGCCACAACUCUAAUUAACAGAACAUCUGACCAAAAAGAUCCGGUACUACCGAUCAACGGACCGAGUUACCCUAGGGAUAACAGCGCAAUCCCCUUUCAGAGCCCAUAUCGACAAGGGGGUUUACGACCUCGAUGUUGGAUCAGGACCCCCUAAUGGUGCAGCCGCUAUUA
This 489-nucleotide ribosomal RNA is filed under the name Ninnigobius canestrinii. RNAcentral describes it as "partial 16S ribosomal RNA". It matches the Rfam family "Bacterial large subunit ribosomal RNA", at positions 1923 to 2567 of the family's 2925-position model. Lineage: Eukaryota; Metazoa; Chordata; Actinopteri; Gobiiformes; Gobiidae. The record is from RNAcentral.